Molecule: ribosomal RNA, 252 nt
Filed under: uncultured bacterium
Lineage: Bacteria
Description: partial 16S ribosomal RNA
Rfam family: Bacterial small subunit ribosomal RNA
Source: RNAcentral
UACGGAGGGGGUUAGCGUUGUUCGGAAUUAUUGGGCGUAAAGCGAGUCUAGGCGGCUUGUUAAGUCAGAUGUGAAAAUGCGGGGCUCAACUCCGUAUGGCGUUUGAAACUGGCAAGCUAGAGUACUGGAGAGGUGGGCGGAACUACAAGUGUAGAGGUGAAAUUCGUAGAUAUUUGUAGGAAUGCCGAUAGUGAAGACAGCUCACUGGACAGAUACUGACGCUAAAGCUCGAAAGCGUGGGGAGCAAACAGG